This 253-nucleotide ribosomal RNA is filed under the name uncultured Acidobacteriota bacterium. Its description in RNAcentral is "uncultured Acidobacteria bacterium partial 16S ribosomal RNA". It matches the Rfam family "Bacterial small subunit ribosomal RNA", at positions 524 to 776 of the family's 1533-position model. The record is from RNAcentral. Lineage: Bacteria; Pseudomonadati; Acidobacteriota.
GACGUAGGGGGCCAGCGUUGCUCGGAAUUACUGGGUGUAAAGGGUUCGUAGGCGGUGUGGCAAGUCGGGAGUGAAAUCUCUGGGCUCAACUCAGAGACUGCUUCCGAAACUGCUGUGCUUGAGUGUGGGAGAGGCGCGUGGAAUUGCAGGUGUAGCGGUGAAAUGCGUAGAUAUCUGCAGGAACACCCGUGGCGAAAGCGGCGCGCUGGACCACUACUGACGCUGAGGAACGAAAGCUAGGGGAGCAAACAGG